RNAcentral lists this ribosomal RNA (492 nucleotides) under uncultured bacterium. Its description in RNAcentral is "partial 16S ribosomal RNA". It matches the Rfam family "Bacterial small subunit ribosomal RNA", at positions 29 to 507 of the family's 1533-position model. The record is from RNAcentral.
AGUGAACGCUGGCGGUAGGCCUAACACAUGCAAGUCGAACGGCAGCACAGUAAGAGCUUGCUCUUACGGGUGGCGAGUGGCGGACGGGUGAGGAAUACAUCGGAAUCUACUUUUUCGUGGGGGAUAACGUAGGGAAACUUACGCUAAUACCGCAUACGACCUACGGGUGAAAGCAGGGGAUCUUCGGACCUUGCGCGAUUGAAUGAGCCGAUGUCGGAUUAGCUAGUUGGCGGGGUAAAGGCCCACCAAGGCGACGAUCCGUAGCUGGUCUGAGAGGAUGAUCAGCCACAAUGGGACGGAGCCACGGUCCAGACUCCUACGGGAGGCAGCGGUGGGGAAUAUUGGACAAUGGGCGCAAGCCUGAUCCAGCCAUACCGCGUGGGUGAAGAAGGCCUUCGGGUUGUAAAGCCCUUUUGUUGGGAAAGAAAAGCAGCAGGUUAAUACCCCGCUGUUCUGACGGUACCCAAAGAAUAAGCACCGGCUAACUUCGUG